UAUUUUAUGUGCAUUUGAAAUUAACUACGUUAAAGUGUAGAUAAGAUGUGUACAGUAAGAGUGAGACCUAUCAGCUAGUUGUUAAGGUAAUGGCUUAACAAGGCAGUGACGGGUAACGGUAUUACUUUGUAAUAUUCCGGAGAAGGAGCCUGAGAGACGGCUACUAAGUCUAAGGAUUGCAGCAGGGGCGAAACUUGACCUAUGGAUUUUA
This 211-nucleotide ribosomal RNA is filed under the name Vairimorpha thomsoni. RNAcentral describes it as "Nosema thomsoni partial small subunit ribosomal RNA". It matches the Rfam family "Microsporidia small subunit ribosomal RNA", at positions 104 to 316 of the family's 1311-position model. Lineage: Eukaryota; Fungi; Microsporidia; Nosematidae. The record is from RNAcentral.